Molecule: ribosomal RNA, 427 nt
Filed under: uncultured bacterium
Lineage: Bacteria
Description: partial 16S ribosomal RNA
Rfam family: Bacterial small subunit ribosomal RNA
Source: RNAcentral
UGGGGAAUAUUGCACAAUGGGCGCAAGCCUGAUGCAGCCAUGCCGCGUGUAUGAAGAAGGCCUUCGGGUUGUAAAGUACUUUCAGCGAGGAGGAAGGCGUUGUGGUUAAUAACCGCAACGAUUGACGUUACUCGCAGAAGAAGCACCGGCUAACUCCGUGCCAGCAGCCGCGGUAAUACGGAGGGUGCAAGAGUUAAUCGGAAUUACUGGGCGUAAAGCGCACGCAGGCGGUCUGUCAAGUCGGAUGUGAAAUCCCCGGGCUCAACCUGGGAACUGCAUCCGAAACUGGCAGGCUAGAGUCUUGUAGAGGGGGGUAGAAUUCCAGGUGUAGCGGUGAAAUGCGUAGAGAUCUGGAGGAAUACCGGUGGCGAAGGCGGCCCCCUGGACAAAGACUGACGCUCAGGUGCGAAAGCGUGGGGAGCAAACA